Molecule: long non-coding RNA, 234 nt
Filed under: Homo sapiens (human)
Lineage: Eukaryota; Metazoa; Chordata; Mammalia; Primates; Hominidae
Description: HSALNT0405271
Source: RNAcentral
CUUCCCAGUGGAAUGAAAACUCUCUUCCAUGUUCUCGGGGCUCAUCACGGCACCUGGCACAUAAAACCUGAAGUUAUCCUGAGAACAAACGUCACUGCCAUGGAAACACCUCCUCCACGUUCCCGAUGGUGCACUGGUUUUCUUUCCUGUCUGACCAACAAGCCUCUGGAGAGUGGCCACCAUCUUACAGGCUCACUUUGUAUUCUGUAAACUUUCAGUUGGAAAAUAAACACA